RNAcentral lists this long non-coding RNA (567 nucleotides) under Homo sapiens (human). Its description in RNAcentral is "HSALNT0058821". The record is from RNAcentral. Lineage: Eukaryota; Metazoa; Chordata; Mammalia; Primates; Hominidae.
GCCCAUUCUGUUGUGAUUGCUGUAAAGGACUGCACAUAACACAUCUGUUUCUGCAUCUAAGGUUUGGCUCUUCAGCGACAGUAUGACGAGAUGGCAUUCUUUAAUUACAGCUGCAAUGCAAAGGUCUGAAGCAGAGACAUCUAAUAAGAUUUAGUAUGUAUUUCUACAGUAAGUAUAUUAUAUUAAAAACACACUAAAAAAAGCAUCUUUCCUUAUUUGUUUUAAAGGAAUCAAAAACUAAUGUAAUCAGUCUCAACUGUAAGAACGUAAGGAUUCUAAGUAUAAGAGAAGUUGGAAAAUGGUAACAGAUGAUAUAAAGUCCAGGAAAUCAUUAAGAGAACAUCUGUAAAACAAGAAGCUGUAUCUUUGCAUUGCAUUUUAUCAUGGUUUAAUAAUCUUUCAUAUGAAUACUUUGCUGUCAGUCAUUUGGUGUACACUUACGCCUCAUGUGUACACUUAACCCCCACCUUGAAGGUAGGGCACAUGUCACAACAUGUGUAAUAACUCUCUAACUCCCCAUGUCGCUAUGCCCGAAAGCAAGACAGAAUGAAUAAAUUCACAGUCUUC